UACAGAGGAUGCAAGCGUUAUCCGGAAUGAUUGGGCGUAAAGCGUCUGUAGGUGGCUUUUUAAGUCCGCCGUCAAAUCCCAGGGCUCAACUCUGGACAGGCGGUGGAAACUACCAGGCUGGAGUACGGUAGGGGCAGAGGGAAUUUCCGGUGUAGCGGUGAAAUGCGUAGAUAUCGGAAGGAACACCUGUGGCGAAAGCGGCGCACUGGACCAAAACUGACGCUGAGGCGCGAAAGCUAGGGGAGCAAACAGG
This 253-nucleotide ribosomal RNA is filed under the name uncultured bacterium. RNAcentral's name for it is "partial 16S ribosomal RNA". It matches the Rfam family "Bacterial small subunit ribosomal RNA", at positions 524 to 776 of the family's 1533-position model. The record is from RNAcentral.